GGGGUGUUAGCGAAGUUGGUUAUCGCGCUGGCCUGUCACGCCGGAGAUCACGAGUUCGAGCCUCGUACAUCCCGCUA
Molecule: transfer RNA, 77 nt
Filed under: Treponema sp.
Lineage: Bacteria; Pseudomonadati; Spirochaetota; Spirochaetia; Treponematales; Treponemataceae
Also listed under: 1 other name
Description: tRNA-Asp
Rfam family: tRNA
About the family: Transfer RNA (tRNA) molecules are approximately 80 nucleotides in length. Their secondary structure includes four short double-helical elements and three loops (D, anti-codon, and T loops). Further hydrogen bonds mediate the characteristic L-shaped molecular structure. tRNAs have two regions of fundamental functional importance: the anti-codon, which is responsible for specific mRNA codon recognition, and the 3' end, to which the tRNAs corresponding amino acid is attached (by aminoacyl-tRNA synthetases). tRNAs cope with the degeneracy of the genetic code in two manners: having more than one tRNA (with a specific anti-codon) for a particular amino acid; and 'wobble' base-pairing, i.e. permitting non-standard base-pairing at the 3rd anti-codon position.
Source: RNAcentral